This 23-nucleotide non-coding RNA is filed under the name Rattus norvegicus (Norway rat). The record is from RNAcentral. Lineage: Eukaryota; Metazoa; Chordata; Mammalia; Rodentia; Muridae.
AACAUAUGGCGCCCAACAAAUAU